RNAcentral lists this transfer RNA (91 nucleotides) under Felis catus (domestic cat). It matches the Rfam family "tRNA". From Rfam's summary of the family: Transfer RNA (tRNA) molecules are approximately 80 nucleotides in length. Lineage: Eukaryota; Metazoa; Chordata; Mammalia; Carnivora; Felidae. The record is from Rfam by way of RNAcentral.
GCCCGGGUGGCUCAGUCGGCUGAGCGUCCGACUCUUGAUUUCGGCUGAGGUCAUGAUCCCAGGGUCGCAGGAUCGAGCCCUGCCUUGGGUU